CCUACGGGAGGCAGCAGUGGGGAAUAUUGCACAAUGGGGGAAACCCUGAUGCAGCGACGCCGCGUGAGUGAAGAAGUAUUUCGGUAUGUAAAGCUCUAUCAGCAGGGAAGAAAAUGACGGUACCUGACUAAGAAGCCCCCGCUAACUACGUGCCAGCAGCCGCGGUAAUACGGAGGGGGCAGGCGUUAUCCGGAUUUACUGGUUUUAAAGGGAGCGUAGGUGGAAUGGUAAGUCAGUAGUGAAAGCUUGUGGCUUAACCGUGGAACUGGAGUGGAAACUGGCCGGCUUGAGUGCAGGAGAGGUGAGCGGAAUUCCUGGUGUAGCGGUGAAAUGCGUAGAUAUCAGGAAGAACACCAGUGGCGAAGGCAGCUCACUGGACUGUAACUGACGCUGAGGCUCGAAAGUGUGGGGAGCAAACAGGAUUAGAUACCCGAGUAGUC
This 440-nucleotide ribosomal RNA is filed under the name uncultured bacterium. RNAcentral's name for it is "partial 16S ribosomal RNA". It matches the Rfam family "Bacterial small subunit ribosomal RNA", at positions 338 to 795 of the family's 1533-position model. The record is from RNAcentral.